GCUUCCACUAAGUGUUCUUCUCCUGACUCGGAUUAGCUGUGUGUUUCCUGACCUUUGCUGAACACAUCUCUAAUCCAGCCAUUUAAACCCUGUCAUCACCUGUCUAAUUGGCCUCUCCACACCGUUUCCACUUGGCACAAAAUGGAGGUUGAGUCUAAUGUUUGUUAAUGUAACUGUUCAGUGUGCCACCAGUGUCGAGCUGAGUUAUCUGAGUCAUCCCCACAUCGAAAAUCCUUGCUAAUAUGCAGAAUGAAGAUUUCUAGAUUUCCAUCCUCAUUGUUUUAUCACAACAUCUUUGUUUCCCCUUUUCCUCUCCACUUUAGUCAGGUGGCCUAGCGGUGCAGAGUGUUGGGCCAGUAACCAAAAGGUCGCUGGUUUGAAUCCCCCACCCGACUAGGUGAAAAUCUGUCAUUGUUCCCUUGAGCAAGGCACUUAACCCUAAUUGCUUCUGUAAAUCGUCCUACAUAAGAGCGUCUGCUAAAUGACUACAAUGAACACGGAACAAAAAUAUAAACGCAACAUGUGAAGUGUUGGUCCUAUGUUUCUGAGCUGAAAUAAAAGAUCCCAGACAUUUACCAUGUGCACAUAAAGCUCACACAUCCCUGUUAGGGAGCAUUUCUCCUUUACCAAGAAAAUCCAUCCACCUUACAGGUGUGGCAUAUCACAUCCCUGUUAGGGAGCAUUUGUCCUUUACCAAGAAAAUCCAUCCACCUUACAGGUGUGGCAUAUCACAUCCCUGUUAGGGAGCAUUUCUCCUUUACCAAGAUAGUCCAUCCACCUGACAGGUGUGGCAUAUCAAGAAGCUGAUUAAACAGUAUGAUCAUUACUCAGGUGUAAUUUGUGCUCGGGACAAUAAAAGGCCACUAAAAUGUGUCGUUUUGUCACACAACACAUUGCCAUAGACGUCUCAAGUUUUGUGGGAGUGUGCAAUUGGCAUGCUGACUGCAGGAAUGUCCACCAGAGCUGUUUUCAGAAAAUGUCAUGUUAGUUUGUCCACCAUAAGCCACCUCCAAAGUUGUUUUAGAGAAUUUGUCAGUACCUCACAACCGCAGACCAUGUGUAACCACACCUGCUCAGGACUUCCACGUCUGGCUUCUUUACCUGCUGGAUCGUUUGAGACCAGCCUACCUGGACAGCUGAUGAAACUGAGGAGUGUUUGUUUGUAAUUAAGAUCAUUUAAGGGGGAAAACUCAUUCUGAUUGACUGGGUCUGGCUCUACAGUGGGUGGACCUGGCUCCCAAGGGGUGGGCCUUUGCCCACCCAUGGCUGUGCCCCUGCCCAGUCAUGUGAAAUCCAUAGAUUAGGGCCUAAUUUAUAUAUUUAAAUUGACU
This 1331-nucleotide long non-coding RNA is filed under the name Salmo salar (Atlantic salmon). RNAcentral's name for it is "lncRNA (ENSSSAG00000091552.1)". Lineage: Eukaryota; Metazoa; Chordata; Actinopteri; Salmoniformes; Salmonidae. The record is from RNAcentral.